Rhododendron vialii is the source of this 1644-nucleotide long non-coding RNA. RefSeq lists it as uncharacterized. NCBI's taxonomy places the organism in Eukaryota, Viridiplantae, Streptophyta, Magnoliopsida, Ericales, Ericaceae. The transcript is spliced from 2 exons. The record is from RefSeq and is a predicted model, not a curated record.
AUUACCGGCAGGUGGAGGGCCAUGGCUUUAUUUACCACUUUAAUGGUCUCCACUCUCCAAAUCACCAAUACAUGGUAUCCCCUAUUUUUAUCCCCAAUACAUGGUAAGCAUAACUUGAGAAGACUCAUUUGCCCUUCCUUCCCACCCUAAAAGAUCUCUCACCUGAUAAGAGGAAAAGAGAACCCACACCAGAAAAAACAUGGCGUUAAUUCCUUAAUUCCUUGCCCUCCAUCAAAUAAUUCUCAUCUCCAGAACACUCACUCCCUCUCUCUCUCUCUCUUAAAGGUUACCUGAAAUUGAAGAGUUCGGAGUUGAUGGCUACCUAAGUCGUAGAGUUUUUCGAAAUCGAAUCAUGGAGUUCAUUGUCUGUCCACAAAUCGAAUCACGAUAUACCUGAAUCUCAUGUUUUAAGGUCAAAGAACGGAGGUGGAUCCAAAUGUGGAGCAUGAAGAGGCACCUGGUUCAAAUGGAAUGGAUGGUUUUGUGUCUGAUCUGCCAUUGAUGAGAUUCUGAGCUUUGUUGAAAUGCUUAAGUAAGCUUCAUGUUGGAUGUUAAUAUAUGACACGGUAGUUAUAUAAACAUACAAUAUCUUGAUUCUUGAGUCACGAGCAUUUGAUUGAUAUUGUACGUUGGAUUGCGAUGGGAAAUGCUAGCUCAACCAAUUUGUACUCCACAAGCUAAGUUAAAUGAUUCACUUUAUUUAGUGAUAACGUAUUAAACAAUUCUGUGUCCAAAGGAAGAGAAAAUAUAAUGUGAAUGGCAGAAAAUAUAACGUAUCAAAGUUUUGGUUCUGUGAGCCUGUUGGUGUAUCCGCUUGAAUGUGUAAUUUUACUCAUUUAGUCUGAAUGUGUAACUAUCAUACUCUUCUUUUAUGGGGUUUUCAUUUUCUUGUAGUUCAUCUGCUAAUUAAAAUCUCUUUAUGUUCUAUAGUAGAGGGCUUUGCUUCUUGCUCUUCAUAAGCUAAAGGUAUUGGAAGAGCAACAGAAGUAUGCUAUUGAUUCAUUUGAACCUCUUAUGGCUUUUGCUCUCAGUUAUGGACUGUAUUCAUUACCUGCGGUAAUCAUACAUAUUUUUCGCUUAGUUAUGUGUUCGAGGUUGUCUUUCUUUUGCGUUUUGUAAAAGGUUAUUAAGUGAACCUCUUAUGUAAUUAGAAGUCUGGCUAGCCAAAGCUGGGAAUGCUUGGCGCGAAGCAAAUACUUCUGCCGAUUUUCUUGCUCGAGAGGCCAUAUAUGGGCAAAGGCCUUUGGUGGUGGUCCUUCGUCAACCCUCUCUUCAAUUUGGAGAACAUUGCCUAUGACGGAUGUAAAAGGACUUGGCUACCAGGGUCAUCUCUAUACGGAUCCACAUGCAUUGAACAACUCUAAACUCAAUGUUUUACAAUUGUGCUCUUAGGUGGUUUUACACACAUUGGGUACAAAGUUCUCUUAAUCUUGUUGUGGGUUUAAUAUUGUGGUUUUGAGAUGUUGGGUACAAAGUUUGUGCAAAGAGACUUUUUAGGAUUGAUUUGUAGGUUUAAGAUAUUGAGUACAAAGUUCACUAUAGUACCAUUUUUUUUUAUAUAGGUGUACUACAUUAUUGGAAGUAAUCCAAUUGAACUACUGUUGUCUAACUUUGGAUUUUGUUAAAUGUAAGGGACUUAUUCUU